CUCCUCUCAAAAUGGCACCUGGAGAGUUACCAGUCUUCUACCAGUCUCGGCUUCAGGUGGAAGAGUUAAGCAGAGGCCUACCCAUUCCAUUCCUAGCUUGGGCAGUGGCUAGCGAGUGGAAGGUGAUCUGCUACAAGU
Molecule: small nucleolar RNA, 138 nt
Organism: Ornithorhynchus anatinus (platypus)
Lineage: Eukaryota; Metazoa; Chordata; Mammalia; Monotremata; Ornithorhynchidae
Source: RefSeq, a predicted model, not a curated record